GAGUUUGAUCCUGGUUCAGGACGAACGCUGGCGGCGUGCUUAACACAUGCAAGUCGGACGGUGCUCAUGGAAUAGCUUGCUAUGAAAUGGGCACAGUGGCGGACGGGUGAGUAACGCGUGAGGAUCUGUCUUGGGGAGGGGGACAACGUCUGGAAACGGACGCUAAUACCCCAUAUGCCGGAAGGUGAAAGGGAGCGAUCCGCCCCAGGAGGAACUCGCGUCCUAUCAGCUUGUUGGUGAGGUAACGGCUCACCAAGGCGAUGACGGGUAGCUGGUUUGAGAGGACGACCAGCCACACUGGAACUGAGAGACGGUCCAGACUCCUACGGGAGGCAGCAGUGGGGAAUAUUGGGCAAUGGGGGGAACCCUGACCCAGCGACGCCGCGUGUGGGAAGAAGUCUUUCGGGACGUAAACCACUGUUGUGCGGGAAGAAGGAAGUGACGGUACCGCACGAGUAAGGCCCGGCAAACUACGUGCCAGCAGCCGCGGUAAUACGUAGGGGCCGAGCGUUGUCCGGAAUUACUGGGCGUAAAGCGCACGUAGGCGGUUAUUUAAGUCGGCUGUGA
Molecule: ribosomal RNA, 567 nt
Filed under: uncultured Synergistaceae bacterium
Lineage: Bacteria; Thermotogati; Synergistota; Synergistia; Synergistales; Synergistaceae
Description: bacterial SSU rRNA
Rfam family: Bacterial small subunit ribosomal RNA
Source: RNAcentral